AGCUUUGGGGUAUACCUUAGCAACAUUUUUGUGAAACUCAAUAUCAAUGUCUUCAUAGAUACCAGUGUUCAUAUUACGAGUUUUAUUGGUAAUAAGACUCUAAAAAAUUAUGGAUAUGAGUUCGCGAUCAAUGGGUGAAGAAAGGUGUGGAUCAGUAUGUUCAAGAACAUUAAGGUGAAGGUCCACAACAAGAUGGCAAAAAUGAUCCUGAGCAACAACACGAGGCACCACCUCCUACGACUCAAGGCGGUCUUGCGGACGCUCUGGCUUUAGAUCCGCCAUUGUCUCCUCUCACUCUUACACUUUCCUUUGCCAUAAAUGGCGUCUCGGAUAGUGUCAAGACUUUUUCCAGGCACUUUAAUGCUAGGCUUAAUGACUUGUCAUGUCAAGUAGACAUUAAUUUUAUCGGUUUAGAGGAGCAAAUGGUGAUGCUCUUAUCUCGAUUUUGUUCUCCACCACCAUUGCCAUCAAACAUAUGAUGGUUAUUUUUUGUUUUAAUUAGG
This 503-nucleotide long non-coding RNA is filed under the name Gossypium raimondii (Peruvian cotton). RNAcentral describes it as "long non-coding RNA (GRAI_LNC000510)". The record is from RNAcentral. Lineage: Eukaryota; Viridiplantae; Streptophyta; Magnoliopsida; Malvales; Malvaceae.